GAUGAACGCUGGCGGCGUGCCUAAUACAUGCAAGUCGAGCGAACAGACGAGGAGCUUGCUCCUCUGACGUUAGCGGCGGACGGGUGAGUAACACGUGGAUAACCUACCUAUAAGACUGGGAUAACUUCGGGAAACAGGAGCUAAUACCGGAUAAUAUAUUGAACCGCAUGGUUCAAUAGUUAAAGACGCUUUUGCUUUCACUUAUAGAUGGAUCCGCGCCGCAUUAGCUAGUUGGUAAGGUAACGGCUUACCAAGGCAACGAUGCGUAGCCGACCUGAGAGGGUGAUCGGCCACACUGGAACGGAGACACGGUCCAGACUCCUACGGGAGGCAGCAGUAGGGAAUCUUCCGCAAUGGGCGAAAGCCUGACGGAGCAACGCCGCGUGAGUGAUGAAGGUCUUCGGAUCGUAAAACUCUGUUAUUAGGGAAGAACAAAUGUGUAAGUAACUAUGCACGUCUUGACGGUACCUAAUCAGAAAGCCACGGCUAACUACGUG
This 497-nucleotide ribosomal RNA is filed under the name uncultured bacterium. Its description in RNAcentral is "partial 16S ribosomal RNA". It matches the Rfam family "Bacterial small subunit ribosomal RNA", at positions 28 to 507 of the family's 1533-position model. The record is from RNAcentral.